UACCAGCACCCCAAGUGGUCGGGACGAUUAUUGGGCCUAAAGCAUCCGUAGCCGGUUCUGCAAGUCCCCCGUUAAAUCCAGCUGCUCAACAGAUGGGCCGCGGAGGAUACUACAGAGCUAGGAGGCAGGAGAGGCAAGCGGUACUCGAUGGGUAGGGGUAAAAUCCGUUGAUCCAUUGAAGACCACCAGUGGCGAAGGCGGCUUGCCAGAACGCGCUCGACGGUGAGGGAUGAAAGCUGGGGGAGCAAACCGG
RNAcentral lists this ribosomal RNA (253 nucleotides) under uncultured bacterium. Its description in RNAcentral is "partial 16S ribosomal RNA". It matches the Rfam family "Archaeal small subunit ribosomal RNA", at positions 474 to 727 of the family's 1478-position model. The record is from RNAcentral.